UACCAGCACCCCGAGUGGUCGGGACGUUUAUUGGGCCUAAAGCAUCCGUAGCCGGUUCUACAAGUCUUCCGUUAAAUCCACCUGCUUAACAGAUGGGCUGCGGAAGAUACUAUAGAGCUAGGAGGCGGGAGAGGCAAGCGGUACUCGAUGGGUAGGGGUAAAAUCCGUUGAUCCAUUGAAGACCACCAGUGGCGAAGGCGGCUUGCCAGAACGCGCUCGACGGUGAGGGAUGAAAGCUAGGGGAGCAAACCGG
This 253-nucleotide ribosomal RNA is filed under the name uncultured bacterium. RNAcentral's name for it is "partial 16S ribosomal RNA". It matches the Rfam family "Archaeal small subunit ribosomal RNA", at positions 474 to 727 of the family's 1478-position model. The record is from RNAcentral.